UCAGUUAUUCCUUUUCGAAUACACCAACACCCUUUUUGCUUUCCCUUCUUAAUCCGAAACCUACACUUGUCUUCCACUCCUCCUCAUACAUUGUGAAAACAAAUUCUCUGCAAUCCUUCUGAUACAUAAAAACAAAGAAAAAUAACUCUCUUCUUCUGUUUUGUAGCUUUCCUUCUCCUUUUUAUUUGCUUCAUCUGUUUCCAGCAUAUGCAUUUUCAAUAAUAUAGGGAGCUGACAGAAACAUUGCGGUUCAACGUUCGCGAUACAAAGAUUGCCGGCGAAUGCAGGUGCUUAAUUUGGAAUAUUGGCUGCUACUAGAGAUGGUCAUUAACCUUCUUGAUGGGAUCAUUUCGGUUAAAAGUGGAGGACAUGAGCACAGAUUCCCAGCUAGAGCCACCGCCUAUCGUUGAAGCAGUACUGAUAGAAACCAAAGGAUCCGAACUGGGCACAAUCAGGUCGGCUUGUUGCUGCAUCUGCUGAUGCUGUUGACUAGUGAAAGCUUCCUCAUUGAUGAUCGAAUUGAGAAAUGAAGAGAAGACAUCAUCGGUGCCGUAAUUGAUAUCUUCGUCUUCUUCGUUGUUAAGCCCUUGAACGUUGCUUCUCAAAUACAUCCCACAAGUACCAUCACCACAAUUCAGCAAGCUUGAAUAUCCAUGGCUUGCAUUAUUAUUGUUCCCGUUAAUGUGGUAGUGAUGAUCCAAGGAAGUGUUUUCGAUGUAUAAAUUUUGUUCGUUGCUGAUGAUUUGAGUACUGCCCCCGCUGUUUGUUUCUUCCACACCAGAAGAAGCAGCUGCACCAGCUGGAUUGUUAUUAUUACUCUUAGAGCUUGAUGUUUUGCGAUUUGCUUUAGAUGAAGAAGCUUUGUGAUGAUCAACAGAUUCAGGCUUGAGUGGCUUGUGGGUUCUUGGAUCGAUUCCUUGGCUUAUGAGCUUCUUGCUCAGGAGGCGAUGCAGGCGAAGAAUGAGAUCUUCUUCAUCAGGAGCGAUCUGGCCGCGUUUUACAGAAGGACGGAGGUAGUUCAUCCAUCGGAGACGGCAACUCUUACCGCAGCGGAGAAGUCCAGCUCUUUUAGGCAAGGUACGCCAGCGACCUUCCCCUUCUUUCUUGAUGUAGUUGACAAGAAGCUCAUCUUCUUCAGGCGUCCAUGGCCCUCUCUUUAACCCUACCUUGCUGCAACAUGGUGUUUUCGCUGUUGUCGUCGCUGCUUGUGGUCCUCCUCCUGCAGAAGUAGCCGUUGAUGGGUUCCUCAUCUUCUUCUUAUUCUGCUUCUUCUUCUUUCUCUGGUCUAUGAAUCCAACCAAAUCGUUUAUGUAUAUGUUCUGUUGGCGAUUGGCAUUGGGUAUGGCAAAGAUAAUUGAUAAAGAGAGGGGCUUUUUUGUUUCUUUAUUGUAAUAAAGAGUGUUGUGGUGAUAUACCCACGAGCAGUUAAAGAGAAUGAAGAACACGCGCCUAAAAAGUUUGGUGGCCAUUUUUGA
Hevea brasiliensis (rubber tree) is the source of this 1475-nucleotide long non-coding RNA. RefSeq lists it as uncharacterized. The transcript is spliced from 3 exons. NCBI's taxonomy places the organism in Eukaryota, Viridiplantae, Streptophyta, Magnoliopsida, Malpighiales, Euphorbiaceae. The record is from RefSeq and is a predicted model, not a curated record.